This 235-nucleotide ribosomal RNA is filed under the name uncultured bacterium. RNAcentral describes it as "partial 16S ribosomal RNA". It matches the Rfam family "Bacterial small subunit ribosomal RNA", at positions 524 to 759 of the family's 1533-position model. The record is from RNAcentral.
UACGAAGGGGCUAGCGUUGCUCGGAAUCACUGGGCGUAAAGGGUGCGUAGGCGGGUCUUUAAGUCAGGGGUGAAAUCCUGGAGCUCAACUCCAGAACUGCCUUUGAUACUGAGGAUCUUGAGUUCGGGAGAGGUGAGUGGAACUGCGAGUGUAGAGGUGAAAUUCGUAGAUAUUCGCAAGAACACCAGUGGCGAAGGCGGCUCACUGGCCCGAUACUGACGCUGAGGCACGGAAA